AUACGGAGGAUCCGAGCGUUAUCCGGAUUUAUUGGGUUUAAAGGGUGCGUAGGCGGCCUUUUAAGUCAGCGGUGAAAGUCUGUGGCUCAACCAUAGAAUUGCCGUUGAAACUGGGGGGCUUGAGUAUGUUUGAGGCAGGCGGAAUGCGUGGUGUAGCGGUGAAAUGCAUAGAUAUCACGCAGAACCCCGAUUGCGAAGGCGGCCUGCCAAGCCAUGACUGACGCUGAUGCACGAAAGCGUGGGGAUCAAACAGGAUUAGAUACCCUGGUAGUCCACGCAGUAAACGAUGAUCACUAGCUGUUUGCGAUACACUGUAAGCGGCACAGCGAAAGCGUUAAGUGAUCCACCUGGGGAGUACGCCGGCAACGGUGAAACUCAAAGGAAUUGACGGGG
This 393-nucleotide ribosomal RNA is filed under the name uncultured bacterium. Its description in RNAcentral is "partial 16S ribosomal RNA". It matches the Rfam family "Bacterial small subunit ribosomal RNA", at positions 523 to 918 of the family's 1533-position model. The record is from RNAcentral.